CAUGAUUGCACGUUCAUCCUUCUUCUCUGUGAGUGCGAAAGGCUACUGAUUUUGAAGGAUUCACACUGCAAGCACAUUCGUCCAGCGCGCUCUACCCCUCACACUCAACCACAAUCACAAUCACCUUCUAGGUUGAACACUCUUCUCAGUAAAGGGAUCAGGGUUUACCGAGAUUGAAGUUGAAAGAAGCGUUAAACAUCAGGUCCAUUUCUGAGGUGAUUUGGAGCUUGUGUGGGGUUUGUUUGGGUCCUUUCCAAUCCUUCUUCAACUGGCUGAGCUAGAGGUAUUGGAGGAAGUUGAACUUGAGCUUUUGGAAAGGUUAUUCUUAUUUUAUGAUUACUUCUUAUGAAGUUUAGUUUAGUCCUCAUUAGUGAACACAAAAAAACAGAUACAUUAUGAUCAAUGAUAUAACAACGAAAUUAUCACAACAAAAGCUAAUUUGAGUCACAUUUGAGUAUGC
Molecule: small RNA, 460 nt
Filed under: Vigna angularis var. angularis
Lineage: Eukaryota; Viridiplantae; Streptophyta; Magnoliopsida; Fabales; Fabaceae
Description: Non-protein coding transcript
Source: RNAcentral